This 914-nucleotide ribosomal RNA is filed under the name uncultured marine archaeon. RNAcentral describes it as "bacterial SSU rRNA". It matches the Rfam family "Archaeal small subunit ribosomal RNA", at positions 1 to 922 of the family's 1478-position model. The record is from RNAcentral.
UUCCGGUUGAUCCUGCCGGACCUGACUGCUAUCGGAUUGAUACUAAGCCAUGCGAGUCUUUGCAGUAAUGCAAGGCAUACGGCUCAGUAACACGUAGUCAACUUACCCUAUGGACGAGGAUAAUCUCGGGAAACUGAGCAUAAUACUCGAUAGAACACUAUACCUGGAAUGGUUUGUGUUCCAAAUGAUUUAUCGCCGUAGGAUGGGACUGCGGCCUAUCAGUUUGUUGGUGAGGUAAUGGCCCACCAAGACUAUUACAGGUACGGGCUCUGAGAGGAGUAGCCCGGAGAUGGGUACUGAGACACGGACCCAGGCCCUAUGGGGCGCAGCAGGCGAGAAAACUUUGCAAUGUGCGAAAGCACGACAAGGUUAAUCCGAGUGGUUUCUGCUAAAGGAACCUUUUGUUAGUCCUAGAAACACUAACGAAUAAGGGGUGGGCAAGUUCUGGUGUCAGCCGCCGCGGUAAAACCAGCACCUCAAGUGGUCAGGAUGAUUAUUGGGCCUAAAGCAUCCGUAGCCGGCUCUGUAAGUUUUCGGUUAAAUCUGUACGCUCAACGUACAGGCUGCCGGGAAUACUGCAAAGCUAGGGAGUGGGAGAGGUAGACGGUACUCGGUAGGAAGUGGUAAAAUGCUUUGAUCUAUCGAUGACCACCUGUGGCGAAGGCGGUCUACCAGAACACGUCCGACGGUGAGGGAUGAAAGCUGGGGGAGCAAACCGGAUUAGAUACCCGGGUAGUCCCAGCUGUAAACUAUGCAAACUCAAUGAUGCAUUGGCUUGAUGCCAAUGCAGUGUUGCAGGGAAGCCGUUAAGUUUGCCGCCUGGGAAGUACGUACGCAAGUAUGAAACUUAAAGGAAUUGGCGGGGGAGCACCACAAGGGGUGAAGCCUGCGGUUCAAUUGGAUUCAACGCCGGG